This 346-nucleotide long non-coding RNA is filed under the name Vigna radiata. RNAcentral describes it as "long non-coding RNA (VRAD_LNC012463)". Lineage: Eukaryota; Viridiplantae; Streptophyta; Magnoliopsida; Fabales; Fabaceae. The record is from RNAcentral.
GCUACCGAGCAUCCACUAUUGACGCGUAAUGCAAUGGAGAAAGGGAAAGAGAAGCUCGCGAUUUUGGAUUGGGGAAUAACGGACUUCAAAAGCAAUGGAGGUUGGGGUUGACGACAUCACAAUGGUGGUAGGGGCAAAGAACGGCCAAUGGUGGUGGGAAAUUGGGAAGAACAUAAGUGGGGGAGAUUAGGGAAGAAGGGUUUUGGAGAAUUUAAAAAUAGGGGAAGGGAAAUCCAAUUUCUGAUUUCAUAAACUUGUAGUACUUACCGACGAUCAUGUCCCUCGUAUUGGUAAUGACUUAUGUCAUUUACCGCUAUUACUGGCGGAUAUAUCCGUCAGUAAGUUA